Dendrobium catenatum is the source of this 2531-nucleotide RNA transcript. It is a transcript of the gene named xyloglucan galactosyltransferase KATAMARI1 homolog, with no coding region annotated. The record is from RefSeq and is a predicted model, not a curated record. The transcript has 3 exons. Lineage: Eukaryota; Viridiplantae; Streptophyta; Magnoliopsida; Asparagales; Orchidaceae.
CGUUGUAACUGGCUACCGACGGGAAGAAAACGGGCGCACCACCGUCUUCUCAGCCACUAUAUAUUCGCGCAGAGCUAGCCGUCGUGCUUCUAAAUUCCAAAUUUCGGCUGCUUGGCAGAUCAUCCGAUGAAGAAAAAGCCAUAAUUCAGCGAUUUCUCCGGCUCGUUGAAGUUGAUUUGGAUUCAAAUCCCUUUCUUUUAUGACAUGAUUUGUGGAUCCCUAGGGUUAGGGGUUCUUGGAUCUGAUUCUCUGAUUGAUGAAGAAGCUCUACGAGCUUUCGUUCUGGUUUAGAAUCCAAUGAGACGGCGCUUACCGGUUUCCACAACCCCCGAAGAGAUGGAGAAGUCCAACGGGAAGACCCCUCGUUCUCGUGUAUGCUUUCUAGCCUCGCUGGCGGCUGUGUUCUGGUUCUUCAUCUUUUACUUCCACUUUGCUGUGCUAAGCAGUAGCCCUCCCGACCAAUCCAUGCAAGCUGUCUCGUUCCCUUCAACUUCAUCUUAUACCGAGCAACAUGUUACCCAUCCAAUGGAGCACCAUAUUUCACAUACCAGGGCGAUGUCAGCGGAGAAAAAAUUCCCAUUUAUGCGCGCCCUCGGAACAGCCGAGAACAAGAGCGAUCCGUGCGGCGGAAGGUACAUCUAUGUUCACGAUCUCCCUUCUCGGUUCAAUGAAGACAUGCUUAGGGAUUGCCGGAAACUCAGCCUUUGGACCAACAUGUGCAAGUUCACUAGCAAUGCCGGUCUUGGACCUCCACUUGAUAAUGUUGAAGGGGUUUUCUCAAACACUGGAUGGUAUGCUACCAACCAGUUUGCAGUGGAUGUGAUUUUCAGAAACAGGAUGAAGCAGUAUGAGUGCUUGACUAAAGAUUCUUCAAUUGCUGCUGCUGUUUUUGUGCCCUUCUAUGCAGGUUUUGACAUAGCAAGGUACCUUUGGGGAUUUAACAUAUCAACGAGAGAUUCAGCUUCUCUCGAUUUGGUGAAUUGGCUAAUGAAACGGCCUGAGUGGAAUGUGAUGGGUGGAAGAGACCAUUUCUUGGUUGCAGGGAGGAUUACUUGGGAUUUCAGGAGGUUGUCGGAUACGGAUUCUGAUUGGGGUAACAAGCUUCUGUUCUUGCCUGCGGCGAAGAAUAUGUCUAUGCUUGUUGUUGAAUCAAGCCCUUGGAAUGCCAAUGAUUUUGGGAUACCAUACCCAACAUAUUUUCACCCAGCUAAAGAUUCAGAUGUGUUGUCCUGGCAGGAUAGAAUGAGGAAAUUGGAGAGGAAGUGGCUUUUCUCAUUUGCCGGAGCACCUCGCCCGGGUAAUCCUAAAUCGAUCAGAGGGCAAAUUUUGGACCAGUGCAAGAAAACAUCGGCUUGUAAACUUUUGGAAUGUGAUUUUGGAGAGAGCAAAUGCCACUCUCCUAGCAGCAUUAUGCAGAUGUUUCAAGGGUCGCUGUUCUGUUUGCAACCUCAGGGGGAUUCCUAUACCAGGAGAUCUGCCUUUGAUUCUAUGCUGGCUGGUUGUAUACCAGUUUUUUUUCACCCUGGUUCAGCAUACACACAGUAUACAUGGCAUCUUCCAAGGGAUUAUACAAAAUAUUCUGUUUUUAUCCCAGAAGAUGACAUUCGAAAGAGAAAUCUUAGCUUAGAGGAAAGGCUAAAGCUGAUUCCUCCAGAUGUUGUGCAGACUAUGCGAGAGACGGUUAUAAGCCUCAUUCCUAGUAUUGUCUAUGCUGAUCCAAGAUCAAAAUUGGAGACCCUUAAGGAUGCCUUUGAUGUUUCGGUUCAGGCAGUAAUCAACAAAGUUACAAAACUUCGUAAGGACAUAAUUGAAAAUCAUGAAGAUAAGGAUUUUGUGGAGGAGAAUAGCUGGAAGUAUGCUUUGCUGGAGGAAGGAAAACGGACGGUUGGAGCUCAUGAAUGGGAUCCUUUCUUUUCAAAACCCAAGGAUGCUAACAAUGAUUCUGGUAGCUUAUCUGCAGAAGCUGCAAAGAGUUCAUGGAAAAAUGAACAGCGGGAUCAAUCUUGAGUUUUGGGCUGAGAAAUGCAGUUGAAGCGCAGAAAUGAAUUUGUAUCAUCAUGAUACUUGGUGUUGGAUUUGAUGCAAUUUGAGUGGGGUAUUCCAAGAAAUUCUACAUCCAUUUCAAUUAGAAAUGGCAAUGCAAGGUAAUAUGGGAAACGUAUCUAGAGGUAAGCAAUAAAGGAGCAGUAAAUCCUAAUAGUGCAAGUGAAAGUUGAUUCGCAUGCAGAUAGGUCUGAAAAGAGUGCAAAUUACAAGGGAAUGAGAAGAAUUAUGGCAAAGUAAAAUGCUACGCACCGAGUGAAUUGUAGAAGGUCAAGGACAAAAAAGUCAAGGACUAGGGGAAUUUGCAAGUUUUGUGUGAUGAAGAAUCAAAUGAAAUGCUACUUAACAACUGAUUAAUGUUUCUGUUUGAGCCAAGUUGGAAACAAGGUAAAAAUUUUCCAAUGACAGUGUAAGGACAAGAAGACAUUGCUGGAGGAUCCGGACAGAGUGUUGCAGGGUUCAGGCAGUCGUGAUAGAGACCUUCGUCU